UCUAUUAUAUCGGAGGAAGAUGUGCACUCCUUGAUACGUCGAGUGCGCCUUGACUAAACGUAGGGCAUGUACAACGCGUCUUUUGGCCCCGUCUCCGUGAUGACAUAUUUGUGAAAAGAACCCUGCCAAUGCCAAGAGACGGAGCCGUCGUCGUCUCACGAGACGACGAGGAGAGCUCGUGGCCCGAGGUCGAGUCGCCAGCUCCAGCACCGUUGUAUGGUGCCUCGCCGGUCCCUUGGUCUCGCGGAUCCCAUGCGCGCACAAGGUUCAGUUUGGGUGCGCCCCAAACUGUCGAGUGGCAAAGCCUCGUCCGCAUCUAGGAAGAGCAAGGGUGCCUCACCGGCGGCGGCGGCGGCGCCUCAUAUCCUUCCUCCGCCCAACCGUCGCGAGCUGCACCGUAGGCUCCGCCCUGGCCGCCGCGAGACGUGCGGGCCAGCUCCGCCGCGCCGUAGGUUGCGCAUGGGCGAGCUCUGCCCUGGCCACCAUGAGAGCUGUGAGCUGAAGCUUGCCAGUUAAUUUUCUGCUGCUUUUUUCAUCAAUGGCUGCACAAACAGGACGAUGAGGACGAGCCGAAGAGGAGGAGGCGGAGGUGGAGGUGGAGAGCCCGGUCGCCAUCGAGCAGCAUUUUCAGUUUUCAAACUUCAGGUUCUGCAGCUUUGUAUGAUGGACGAUGGAGUGGAAGCUCCUAGUAGCUACCUGAUCAAUUGAAAAAGAACUUGUACUGUAUUUCCUCCUAGCUGUUUGCAUUCGAUGAGAAUCUGAUGCUAGUUCGAAUGUACAUGUACCCUCGUGUUGAAUAUGUGCUUUCGUGUUGCCUGCAUGAACAUGUUCCUGAUUUGAACAUGCUGCUUGUAUUGUGAGUUCAGUCUUGUUUAUUUGUUUAAACCACGACAAGAGUUGUGUUUCAGCACUAAUUUAUGGAAAACUGAAUGACAGUUGAACUAA
This is a long non-coding RNA of Sorghum bicolor (sorghum), 945 nucleotides long. RefSeq lists it as uncharacterized. NCBI's taxonomy places the organism in Eukaryota, Viridiplantae, Streptophyta, Magnoliopsida, Poales, Poaceae. The transcript has 2 exons. The record is from RefSeq and is a predicted model, not a curated record.